GGGCCCGUAGCGUAGCGAGAAGCGUGGUUGCCUUUCACUCAGUCGGCUUGGGUUCGAACCCAGACGGCCCCG
This 72-nucleotide transfer RNA is filed under the name Culex quinquefasciatus (southern house mosquito). It matches the Rfam family "tRNA". Rfam says of the family: Transfer RNA (tRNA) molecules are approximately 80 nucleotides in length. Their secondary structure includes four short double-helical elements and three loops (D, anti-codon, and T loops). Further hydrogen bonds mediate the characteristic L-shaped molecular structure. tRNAs have two regions of fundamental functional importance: the anti-codon, which is responsible for specific mRNA codon recognition, and the 3' end, to which the tRNAs corresponding amino acid is attached (by aminoacyl-tRNA synthetases). tRNAs cope with the degeneracy of the genetic code in two manners: having more than one tRNA (with a specific anti-codon) for a particular amino acid; and 'wobble' base-pairing, i.e. permitting non-standard base-pairing at the 3rd anti-codon position. Lineage: Eukaryota; Metazoa; Arthropoda; Insecta; Diptera; Culicidae. The record is from Rfam by way of RNAcentral.